GCUCAGGAUGAACGCUAGCGGCGUGCUUUAUGCAUGCAAGUCGAACGGUCUCGAUUUAUCGAGAUAGUGGCAAACGGGUGAGUAACGCGUAAGUAACCUGCCCUUAAGUAGGGGAUAACUCCGAGAAAUUGGAGCUAAUACCGCAUGUGGUGGUGGAGGUAAGGCUCCAUCACUAAAGCCUUCGGGCGCUUAAGGAGGGGCUUGCGUCCGAUUAGCUAGUUGGUAGAGUAACGGUCUACCAAGGCGAUGAUCGGUAGCUGGUUUGAGAGGACGGCCAGCCACAUUGGGACUGAGACACGGCCCAGACUCCUACGGGAGGCAGCAGCAAGGAAUUUUGUGCAAUGGGCGAAAGCCUGACACAGCGACGCCGCGUGGGGGAUGAAGGCCUUCGGGUUGUAAACCCCUUUUAUCAGGGAAGAAUAAUGACGGUACCUGGGGAAUAAGUCUUGGCUAACUACGUGCCAGCAGCCGCGGUAAUACGUAGAAGGCAAGCGUUAUCCGGAUUUAUUGGGCGUAAAGAGGGUGUAGGCGGUUCUUCAAGUCGGAUGUAAAAUCUCCCGGCUCAACUGGGAGGGAUCAUUCGAUACUGUUGGGCUAGAGUGCAGCAGGGGGAGAUGGAAUUCCCGGUGUAGUGGUGAUAUGCGUAGAUAUCGGGAGGAACACCUGUGGCGAAGGCGGUCUUCUGGGCUGUUACCGACGCUGAGACCCGAAGGCGUGGGGAGCGAACAGGAUUAGAUACCCUGGUAGUCCACGCAGUAAACGAUGGACACUAGGUAUAGGGAGUAUCGACCCUCUCUGUGCCGAAGUUAAGCAUUAAGUGUCCCGCCUGGGGAGUACGGUCGCAAGGACUAAAACUACAAAGAAU
RNAcentral lists this ribosomal RNA (865 nucleotides) under uncultured bacterium. RNAcentral's name for it is "bacterial SSU rRNA". It matches the Rfam family "Bacterial small subunit ribosomal RNA", at positions 22 to 910 of the family's 1533-position model. The record is from RNAcentral.